AACGAACGCUGGCGGCAGGCCUAACACAUGCCAGUCGAGCGAGGACUUCGGUUCUAGCGGCGGACGGGUGAGUAACGCGUGGGAAUGUGCCCUUCUCUACGGAAUAGCCCUGGGAAACUGGGAGUAAUACCGUAUACGCCCUAUUGGGGAAAGAUUUAUCGGAGAAGGAUCAGCCCGCGUUGGAUUAGGUAGUUGGUGGGGUAAUGGCCUACCAAGCCGACGAUCCAUAGCUGGUUUGAGAGGAUGAUCAGCCACACUGGGACUGAGACACGUCCCAGACUCCUACGGGAGGCAGCAGUGGGGAAUCUUAGACAAUGGGGGCAACCCUGAUCUAGCCAUGCCGCGUGAGUGAUGAAGGCCUUAGGGUUGUAAAGCUCUUUCAGCUGGGAAGAUAAUGACGGUACCAGCAGAAGAAGCCCCGGCUAACUCCGUG
This 433-nucleotide ribosomal RNA is filed under the name uncultured bacterium. RNAcentral's name for it is "partial 16S ribosomal RNA". It matches the Rfam family "Bacterial small subunit ribosomal RNA", at positions 29 to 507 of the family's 1533-position model. The record is from RNAcentral.